UACGAACUGUGCAAACGUUAUUCGGAAUCACUGGGCUUAAAGGGUGCGUAGGCGGCUAUUUAAGUAGGGUGUGAAAGCCCCCGGCUCAACCGGGGAAUUGCGUUCCUAAACUGGAUAGCUCGAGUGAGAUAGAGGUGUGCGGAACUUCCGGUGGAGCGGUGAAAUGUGUUGAUAUCGGAAGGAACGCCGGUGGCGAAAGCGGCACACUGGGUCUCAACUGACGCUGAGGCACGAAAGCCAGGGGAGCGAACGGG
Molecule: ribosomal RNA, 254 nt
Filed under: uncultured bacterium
Lineage: Bacteria
Description: partial 16S ribosomal RNA
Rfam family: Bacterial small subunit ribosomal RNA
Source: RNAcentral